Non-coding RNA from Manis javanica (Malayan pangolin), 913 nucleotides. The record is from RefSeq and is a predicted model, not a curated record. NCBI's taxonomy places the organism in Eukaryota, Metazoa, Chordata, Mammalia, Pholidota, Manidae.
UAUGAAGUAAAAUUUCAAAAAAUAACUGUUAUACAAAUGAAUGAAAAAACAAAUGUAUACACUAUACCAAGGAAACUUUCGCACCUUCUGUACAUGUAUUUGGAUUCUUUAAUACUGUAUUCCCAAACAUCUCCCAAGAUGAAUUGACCUCUAAAAAUGUAAAUAGAUACUUCGUAACUUGUAUAUUUUAACUUUUUCUCUUAAAAAAAUAGAUUAGAUGAUAAAGGCCAAGUGGUUCGCAUCAACUUCAAUAAUGCAACUAGAGACACAAUAUUUGAUGUACCUGUUGAAAGAAUUCAGCCUUUUUAUGCUGCUCUGAAGGAGUUUGUUGACCUCAUGAACUGUAAAGAAUCCAAGUUCACUUUCAAGAUGGAUCCAGGUGAUGUGAUUACUUUUGAUAACUGGCGCUUACUGCAUGGCCGGCGCAGCUAUGAAGCAGGCACUGAGAUUUCCCGCCAUCUAGAGGGAGCAUAUGCUGACUGGGAUGUGGUAAUGUCGAGGCUUCGGAUCUUAAGGCAGAGUGUCCAGAAUAGAAACUGAGUCUCCUGUCUGUCAUUUCAGGAAGAUUUCAAUGAUCGUAUUUUGUAAGAUAUGGCAAUGUUAUUUCUCUUUAGAGACCAUGAUCUCUGUCAUUUGCAUAAUUGAUUUCUUUACCACUGAACAUGUCAUCUUUCUCACAAAUUUUCUUUGUAAUCAUACACAAUGCCAACUUAGAUGUUGUAGCAGUGUUCUCCUCUUUCCACAUAAAGCAUUCCUUCUGUUCUAUUGCAUGUAUGAUCUAAUUUCUUUUGCCCAUAUGUGAGAAUCUUCAGAAUGCCUAUAGUUUCAUAGCAAAUAAAACUUUUCUUCAAAAUAAAGCCUUUUUUAACAUACAACUUGUGUUUCAAAUAAACUUAUCUCAAAUAAAAUGUUU